Non-coding RNA from Boeremia exigua, 89 nucleotides. NCBI's taxonomy places the organism in Eukaryota, Fungi, Ascomycota, Dothideomycetes, Pleosporales, Didymellaceae. The record is from the annotation of a RefSeq genome assembly.
GGGGAAAUAGCGCAGUGGUAGCGCGUCCGCUUUGCAAGCGUGUAAAGCUAUAUUGCGGAAGGUCCGGGUUUCGAUCACCCGUUUCUCCA